RNAcentral lists this ribosomal RNA (3013 nucleotides) under Salmonella enterica subsp. enterica serovar Typhimurium. RNAcentral describes it as "23S ribosomal RNA". It matches the Rfam family "Bacterial large subunit ribosomal RNA". Lineage: Bacteria; Pseudomonadati; Pseudomonadota; Gammaproteobacteria; Enterobacterales; Enterobacteriaceae. RNAcentral also lists the same sequence under 1 other name. The record is from RNAcentral.
GGGUUGUGAGGUUAAGCGACUAAGCGUACACGGUGGAUGCCCUGGCAGUCAGAGGCGAUGAAGGGCGUGCUAAUCUGCGAUAAGCGCCGGUAAGGUGAUAUGAACCGUUAUAACCGGCGAUACCCGAAUGGGGAAACCCAGUGUGAUUCGUCACACUAUCAUUAACUGAAUCCAUAGGUUAAUGAGGCGAACCGGGGGAACUGAAACAUCUAAGUACCCCGAGGAAAAGAAAUCAACCGAGAUUCCCCCAGUAGCGGCGAGCGAACGGGGAGGAGCCCAGAGCCUGAAUCAGCAUGUGUGUUAGUGGAAGCGUCUGGAAAGGUGCGCGAUACAGGGUGACAGCCCCGUACACAAAAGCGCAUGUGCUGUGAGCUCGAUGAGUAGGGCGGGACACGUGGUAUCCUGUCUGAAUAUGGGGGGACCAUCCUCCAAGGCUAAAUACUCCUGACUGACCGAUAGUGAACCAGUACCGUGAGGGAAAGGCGAAAAGAACCCCGGCGAGGGGAGUGAAAAAGAACCUGAAACCGUGUACGUACAAGCAGUGGGAGCACAGGUUUACCUGUGUGACUGCGUACCUUUUGUAUAAUGGGUCAGCGACUUAUAUUCUGUAGCAAGGUUAACCGAAUAGGGGAGCCGGAGGGAAACCGAGUCUUAAUUGGGCGUUAAGUUGCAGGGUAUAGACCCGAAACCCGGUGAUCUAGCCAUGGGCAGGUUGAAGGUUGGGUAACACUAACUGGAGGACCGAACCGACUAAUGUUGAAAAAUUAGCGGAUGACCUGUGGCUGGGGGUGAAAGGCCAAUCAAACCGGGAGAUAGCUGGUUCUCCCCGAAAGCUAUUUAGGUAGCGCCUCGUGAAUUCAUCUCCGGGGGUAGAGCACUGUUUCGGCUAGGGGGCCAUCCCGGCUUACCAACCCGAUGCAAACUGCGAAUACCGGAGAAUGUUAUCACGGGAGACACACGGCGGGUGCUAACGUCCGUCGUGAAGAGGGAAACAACCCAGACCGCCAGCUAAGGUCCCAAAGUCAUGGUUAAGUGGGAAACGAUGUGGGAAGGCCCAGACAGCCAGGAUGUUGGCUUAGAAGCAGCCAUCAUUUAAAGAAAGCGUAAUAGCUCACUGGUCGAGUCGGCCUGCGCGGAAGAUGUAACGGGGCUAAACCAUGCACCGAAGCUGCGGCAGCGAACGUAUCACCCAAGACAACUUUACGGAGUUGACGAUUGACGGAGCGAAGCGACGUCAAAGCGUUCAUUAAAGUCGAGUUGGCUUAGGGAUACGUUCGUUGGGUAGGGGAGCGUUCUGUAAGCCUGUGAAGGUGUGUCGUGAGGCAUGCUGGAGGUAUCAGAAGUGCGAAUGCUGACAUAAGUAACGAUAAAGCGGGUGAAAAGCCCGCUCGCCGGAAGACCAAGGGUUCCUGUCCAACGUUAAUCGGGGCAGGGUGAGUCGACCCCUAAGGCGAGGCCGAAAGGCGUAGUCGAUGGGAAACGGGUUAAUAUUCCCGUACUUGGUGUUACUGCGAAGGGGGGACGGAGAAGGCUAUGUUGGCCGGGCGACGGUUGUCCCGGUUUAAGCGUGUAGGUGUGUGUUCCAGGUAAAUCCGGUUCACUUUAACACUGAGGCGUGACGACGAGGCACUACGGUGCUGAAGCAACAAAUGCCCUGCUUCCAGGAAAAGCCUCUAAGCAUCAGGUAACACGAAAUCGUACCCCAAACCGACACAGGUGGUCAGGUAGAGAAUACCAAGGCGCUUGAGAGAACUCGGGUGAAGGAACUAGGCAAAAUGGUGCCGUAACUUCGGGAGAAGGCACGCUGACACGUAGGUGAAGUGAUUUACUCAUGGAGCUGAAGUCAGUCGAAGAUACCAGCUGGCUGCAACUGUUUAUUAAAAACACAGCACUGUGCAAACACGAAAGUGGACGUAUACGGUGUGACGCCUGCCCGGUGCCGGAAGGUUAAUUGAUGGGGUCAGCGCAAGCGAAGCUCCUGAUCGAAGCCCCGGUAAACGGCGGCCGUAACUAUAACGGUCCUAAGGUAGCGAAAUUCCUUGUCGGGUAAGUUCCGACCUGCACGAAUGGCGUAAUGAUGGCCAGGCUGUCUCCACCCGAGACUCAGUGAAAUUGAACUCGCUGUGAAGAUGCAGUGUACCCGCGGCAAGACGGAAAGACCCCGUGAACCUUUACUAUAGCUUGACACUGAACAUUGAGCCUUGAUGUGUAGGAUAGGUGGGAGGCUUUGAAGUGUGGACGCCAGUCUGCAUGGAGCCGACCUUGAAAUACCACCCUUUAAUGUUUGAUGUUCUAACGUGGACCCGUAAUCCGGGUUGCGGACAGUGUCUGGUGGGUAGUUUGACUGGGGCGGUCUCCUCCUAAAGAGUAACGGAGGAGCACGAAGGUUGGCUAAUCCUGGUCGGACAUCAGGAGGUUAGUGCAAUGGCAUAAGCCAGCUUGACUGCGAGCGUGACGGCGCGAGCAGGUGCGAAAGCAGGUCAUAGUGAUCCGGUGGUUCUGAAUGGAAGGGCCAUCGCUCAACGGAUAAAAGGUACUCCGGGGAUAACAGGCUGAUACCGCCCAAGAGUUCAUAUCGACGGCGGUGUUUGGCACCUCGAUGUCGGCUCAUCACAUCCUGGGGCUGAAGUAGGUCCCAAGGGUAUGGCUGUUCGCCAUUUAAAGUGGUACGCGAGCUGGGUUUAGAACGUCGUGAGACAGUUCGGUCCCUAUCUGCCGUGGGCGCUGGAGAACUGAGGGGGGCUGCUCCUAGUACGAGAGGACCGGAGUGGACGCAUCACUGGUGUUCGGGUUGUCAUGCCAAUGGCACUGCCCGGUAGCUAAAUGCGGAAGAGAUAAGUGCUGAAAGCAUCUAAGCACGAAACUUGCCCCGAGAUGAGUUCUCCCUGAGACUUAGAGUCUCCUGAAGGAACGUUGAAGACGACGACGUUGAUAGGCCGGGUGUGUAAGCGCAGCGAUGCGUUGAGCUAACCGGUACUAAUGAACCGUGAGGCUUAACCUUACAACGCCGAAG